This 483-nucleotide ribosomal RNA is filed under the name uncultured bacterium. Its description in RNAcentral is "partial 16S ribosomal RNA". It matches the Rfam family "Bacterial small subunit ribosomal RNA", at positions 30 to 507 of the family's 1533-position model. The record is from RNAcentral.
AUUGAACGCUGGCGGAAUGCUUUACACAUGCAAGUCGAACGGCAGCACGGGGGCAACCCUGGUGGCGAGUGGCGAACGGGUGAGUAAUACAUCGGAACGUGCCCGGUCGUGGGGGAUAACGUAGCGAAAGUUACGCUAAUACCGCAUACGAUCUGAGGAUGAAAGCGGGGGACCUUCGGGCCUCGCGCGAUCGGAGCGGCCGAUGUCAGAUUAGGUAGUUGGUGGGGUAAAGGCCUACCAAGCCGACGAUCUGUAGCUGGUCUGAGAGGACGACCAGCCACACUGGGACUGAGACACGGCCCAGACUCCUACGGGAGGCAGCAGUGGGGAAUUUUGGACAAUGGGCGCAAGCCUGAUCCAGCCAUUCCGCGUGCAGGACGAAGGCCUCGGGUUGUAAACUGCUUUUGUAUGGAACGAAAAGGCUCUGGCUAAUACCUGGGGCUCAUGACGGUACCGUAAGAAUAAGCACCGGCUAACUACGUG